This 275-nucleotide ribosomal RNA is filed under the name uncultured prokaryote. Its description in RNAcentral is "partial 16S ribosomal RNA". It matches the Rfam family "Bacterial small subunit ribosomal RNA", at positions 524 to 798 of the family's 1533-position model. The record is from RNAcentral.
UACGUAGGUGGCAAGCGUUGUCCGGAUUUAUUGGGCGUAAAGGGAGCGCAGGCGGUGACUUAAGUCUGAUGUGAAAGCCCACGGCUUAACCGUGGAGGGUCAUUGGAAACUGGUCGACUUGAGUGCAGAAGAGGGAAGUGGAAUUCCAUGUGUAGCGGUGAAAUGCGUAGAGAUAUGGAGGAACACCAGUGGCGAAGGCGGCUUCCUGGUCUGUAACCGACACUGAGGCGCGAAAGCGUGGGGAGCAAACAGGAUUAGAUACCCCGGUAGUCCCU